RNAcentral lists this ribosomal RNA (253 nucleotides) under uncultured bacterium. RNAcentral's name for it is "partial 16S ribosomal RNA". It matches the Rfam family "Bacterial small subunit ribosomal RNA", at positions 524 to 776 of the family's 1533-position model. The record is from RNAcentral.
UACGUAGGGUGCAAGCGUUGUCCGGAAUUAUUGGGCGUAAAGAGCUCGUAGGCGGUUCGUCGCGUCGGCUGUGAAAUCCCGGAGCUCAACUCCGGGUCUGCAGUCGAUACGGGCGGACUCGAGUUCGGCAGGGGAGACUGGAAUUCCUGGUGUAGCGGUGAAAUGCGCAGAUAUCAGGAGGAACACCGGUGGCGAAGGCGGGUCUCUGGGCCGGUACCGACGCUGAGGAGCGAAAGCGUGGGGAGCGAACAGG